CCUACGGGAGGCAGCAGUGAGGAAUAUUGGUCAAUGGGCGUAAGCCUGAACCAGCCAAGUCGCGUGAGGGAUGAAGGUUCUAUGGAUCGUAAACCUCUUUUAUAAGGGAAUAAAGUGUGGGACGUGUCCUAUUUUGUAUGUACCUUAUGAAUAAGGAUCGGCUAACUCCGUGCCAGCAGCCGCGGUAAUACGGAGGAUCCGAGCGUUAUCCGGAUUUAUUGGGUUUAAAGGGUGCGUAGGCGGCCUUUUACGGCAGUGGUGAAAGUUUGGGGGUCAACCAUAGAAUGGCCGUUGAAACUGGGGGGCGCGAGUAUGUUUGAGGCAGGCGGAAGGCGUGGUGGAGCGGUGAAAUGCUUAGAUAUCACGCAGAACCCCGAUUGCGAAGGCAGCCUGCCAGGCCAUGACUGACGCUGAUGCACGAAAGCGUGGGGAUCAAACAGGAUUAGAUACCCGAGUAGUC
This 460-nucleotide ribosomal RNA is filed under the name uncultured bacterium. RNAcentral describes it as "partial 16S ribosomal RNA". It matches the Rfam family "Bacterial small subunit ribosomal RNA", at positions 338 to 795 of the family's 1533-position model. The record is from RNAcentral.